RNAcentral lists this ribosomal RNA (465 nucleotides) under uncultured Klebsiella sp. RNAcentral describes it as "bacterial SSU rRNA". It matches the Rfam family "Bacterial small subunit ribosomal RNA", at positions 338 to 795 of the family's 1533-position model. Lineage: Bacteria; Pseudomonadati; Pseudomonadota; Gammaproteobacteria; Enterobacterales; Enterobacteriaceae. The record is from RNAcentral.
CCUACGGGUGGCUGCAGUGGGGAAUAUUGCACAAUGGGCGCAAGCCUGAUGCAGCCAUGCCGCGUGUGUGAAGAAGGCCUUCGGGUUGUAAAGCACUUUCAGCGGGGAGGAAGGCGGUGAGGUUAAUAACCUCAUCGAUUGACGUUACCCGCAGAAGAAGCACCGGCUAACUCCGUGCCAGCAGCCGCGGUAAUACGGAGGGUGCAAGCGUUAAUCGGAAUUACUGGGCGUAAAGCGCACGCAGGCGGUCUGUCAAGUCGGAUGUGAAAUCCCCGGGCUCAACCUGGGAACUGCAUUCGAAACUGGCAGGCUAGAGUCUUGUAGAGGGGGGUAGAAUUCCAGGUGUAGCGGUGAAAUGCGUAGAGAUCUGGAGGAAUACCGGUGGCGAAGGCGGCCCCCUGGACAAAGACUGACGCUCAGGUGCGAAAGCGUGGGGAGCAUACAGGAUUAGAUACCCGAGUAGUC